This 588-nucleotide ribosomal RNA is filed under the name Afrixalus aureus. Its description in RNAcentral is "partial 16S ribosomal RNA". It matches the Rfam family "Bacterial large subunit ribosomal RNA", at positions 1808 to 2621 of the family's 2925-position model. The record is from RNAcentral. Lineage: Eukaryota; Metazoa; Chordata; Amphibia; Anura; Hyperoliidae.
CAAAAACAUCGCCUCUUGUUAAAAUAUAAGAGGUCCCGCCUGCCCACUGACUAAAGGUUCAACGGCCGCGGUAUCUUAACCGUGCAAAGGUAGCACAAUAAAUUGUCUUCUAAAUAAAGACUAGUAUGAAUGGCACCACGAGGGCUUAACUGUCUCCUCCCUCUAAUCAAUGAAACUGAUCUUCCCGUGAAGAAGCGGGAAUAAACAUAUAAGACGAGAAGACCCCAUGGAGCUUUAAACUCAUCACCACUUACUAAAUACUAUGCCACUAAAAAAGGUAAAAAUGUUCUUGAUAGUUUUCGGCUGGGGUGACCCUGGAGUACAACAAACCCUCCAGAAUGUAAAGGAGUAAUCCUAACCCAAGAAUUACACUUCUAAGAAUCAAAAAAUUGACAUUAAUGAUCCAAUUAUUUGAUCAACGAACCAAGUUACCCUGGGGAUAACAGCGCAAUCCAUUUCAAGAGCCCCUAUCGACAAAUGGGUUUACGACCUCGAUGUUGGAUCGGGGUAUCCUAGUGGCGCAGCCGCUACUAAUGGUUCGUUUGUUCAACGAUUAAUAACCCCACRUGAUCUGAKUCCAAAACCGGA